This 2006-nucleotide long non-coding RNA is filed under the name Nicotiana tabacum (common tobacco). RNAcentral describes it as "long non-coding RNA (NTAB_LNC017434)". Lineage: Eukaryota; Viridiplantae; Streptophyta; Magnoliopsida; Solanales; Solanaceae. The record is from RNAcentral.
UUUCUUUGAAGUAAAAAAGAUGUUUUAUUACUUCUCUAGCACAAAAGUUAAUACAUCCAAAAAUGUAGAGACAACAAGAACUAGACAUUUUUCUAUACAAAAGCCUAAAUUAUGAAGAUGAUCAUAAACUAGGCUUUGUUGCUGACACGUCUUAAAUAUUUUUCCAAGUCCGUAUGACGUCUCCAUAUUUAAUGCCAUUAUCGAUUGUUGGUUGAAGGUCCCAUAUAUGAGAAAUUGUCUCUCUUGAAAAAUUCCCCAAUCACCGUGGGAUCCGCCGUUGAUGAACUUCAAGACUAUCAACAAAUCAAAUGCAACAGUUGGUGAAGGAGUGGCUCCGUAUCUUGUAUGACACCUCAGUCUAAUAUCUCGACCCGUUAAGCUUCUUUACGAUUCUGCAAAAGAAAACAAAGAGAUAAGAUUUGUGAAGCAUUAUAGUCAACGUUACUACAUGUAAUAUAGUAAAGUCAAUUUCAAGAAAAAAAGAACAACAUUCUCAGGACAACUUAGAGAGCAUAGAGAUGGAAAGCGAGCUCAACAAACGACGGGGUCAACUUUGAAAAACUACCCUGGUCCAUCUAGAAGAUGUUAUGCCCCUAAUAUUUUUUAUGUUAUAGAUUUGGAUGUCUAGUUUAUAAAAAUAUAAACCGUUUGCGAUUUGGAGGCCCCUAGCUCAAGAUACGAUUUUGUUUUCACCGGAACUACUCGAAUCUGAAUGUUUACUGCAGCUUGGUCGAAUUUGAUAAUUUUUUAUUUCCAUCCCAGAAGGAUUUAUGCCAUUAAAUUUAUAUGCGAUGAAGAUCUAUGAGGUUAAUUUCUGCCGGCACAAACGGAUUGCAAUUUGGAGAUUCCGAGCUCGAGAUAUGAAUUUUUCGCCUAGAACGCGCAAAACUGAAAAGCAGCAAGGCAGACGUCUAAAUCAAUUUCAAGAAAUUGCUGCGGCCAAUCUGGAAGGAAUACUUCUGUGAUAUUUUGAGAAUUCUCUUAUCCAUGAGUCUUAUAUCUAUUGGUAUAAACGGCUUGUAAUGUUGAUGUUCCUAGCCUAAUACAUGACUUUAUUUUUCUAGAGUGCGCAAAUCUGGAAAUCAAGUGCGGCAGAUGUCUGUAGCAACUUCAAAAUAUUAUGGCGGAUAUUCUAAAAGAAUUAUUUCCGUGCUAUUUACAAAUAUUGUGGGUUUUGGAAUUUUCUUUCCAACAGCAUAGAUGGAUCGUGAUUCCGACACCCGAAGCUUGAGAUAUGAAUUUCUCGAUAAGAAUACACAAAGCAGAAAAGCAGCAAGAUAGACAUCAUGAGUGACUUCAAAACAACAUUGCGGCCAAUAUAAAAAAAGUUUUACCACGAUAUUUUCAGGGGUUGCAGAUCCCGAACUUGUCUUUCCGAUGGAAUAGACGGCUCACUAUUUGGAAGUUCCCAAUUUGAGAUAUGUACUUCUGAUGACAACAUGUAAUGUUGUGAAGUCGAAAUGACAGACGUGUGCAUCACCUUUGAAAUUUCAUUCUGACAUGUCCUGAUAAAAUUUGGCCCUAUGUUUUGGAUAUGAUGAUAUGGUGCAAGUUUUGAUUCUAUAAAAUUAAGUGGAUUGUAGUUUAGACACUCCUAGGUCAAGAUACAAUUUUUUCAAUGAGAGCAUGAAAUGCUAUAAAGUCAAAAUAGCAGAGAUGCGUCAGGUGCUUUCUUACCGAAGUUGGAAAGUCCUACUCCGGUUGUCUUCCUAGCCAGCCUACAACAAUGCGACAUGGUACAUAUUGCACUCGCCAAUGGUGAGAUAGGGUCUCUCUGAGUCUCCAAGAGUAGGGACUUCGUCGCCGAUAUUGAAAGGACACUUCAUGUGUCUCUCUCGCCAACCGCAACAAAGAAACGAGUGGUUCGCUCGCAAUGCAUCUUCCUAUGGACAAGAUCUCUGGAACUCUCUUAAAUUCCUGCAAAACAAAAUAUUUAGUCCUCGCUGUCAAUAACAUGACGUUUCAGCAAUACGAUAAUUCAAUUUCACAAUAUCGAUGCAGAUGAC